RNAcentral lists this ribosomal RNA (301 nucleotides) under uncultured bacterium. RNAcentral describes it as "partial 16S ribosomal RNA". It matches the Rfam family "Bacterial small subunit ribosomal RNA", at positions 509 to 807 of the family's 1533-position model. The record is from RNAcentral.
CAGUCGCCGCGGUAAUACAGAGGGUGCGAGCGUUAAUCGGAUUUACUGGGCGUAAAGCGUGCGUAGGCGGCUUCUUAAGUCGGAUGUGAAAUCCCUGAGCUUAACUUAGGAAUUGCAUUCGAUACUGGGAAGCUAGAGUAUGGGAGAGGAUGGUAGAAUUCCAGGUGUAGCUGUGAAAUGCGUAGAGAUCUGGAGGAAUACCGAUGGCGAAGGCAGCCAUCUGGCCUAAUACUGACGCUGAGGUACGAAAGCAUGGGGAGCAAACAGGAUUAGAUACCCGCGUAGUCCCUGUCUCUUAUAC